CUUUCUCCCACUCUCACAACUUUUCUCCCACCAUUAUCACACUCCAUAGAAGCAUUUGAAGCCCCAAGAGAAGUAGCAAAGCAAGGGAGAGUGUGGGAAAACUAUAGAGUGAAGGUUGUGCUUCGAGGGUCCGGGCGACAGAAAGUGAAGCCGAAGAAGAAACGACUCCACGCCAGCUUUAAGAACAAUUGAGGUUGAGCAGGCGAUGGAAUGGAUCGGUGUUGAGCGGAUUUCCCUUUUGAUGUUUAUGUAAUGAAACCUUGAGUAUGCAUCUCCAUAUGCAUAACUCACACGUUUUUUCGCUGCAAACACUCUGACUUAUUUAUCAUUUCUACUUGAACUUAUUACUACUUCAUUUUAAUUAACUUUCAGUUGGGGUCUAGUCGUUAUGGCAGACUCAUUUGUGAAUUACCCAAGUGGUUAUAUAUAUAUACCACUAGUUUGUUAUUAA
Salvia miltiorrhiza (redroot sage) is the source of this 451-nucleotide long non-coding RNA. RefSeq lists it as uncharacterized. Lineage: Eukaryota; Viridiplantae; Streptophyta; Magnoliopsida; Lamiales; Lamiaceae. The transcript has 3 exons. The record is from RefSeq and is a predicted model, not a curated record.